Molecule: ribosomal RNA, 460 nt
Filed under: uncultured bacterium
Lineage: Bacteria
Description: partial 16S ribosomal RNA
Rfam family: Bacterial small subunit ribosomal RNA
Source: RNAcentral
CCUACGGGUGGCAGCAGUGAGGAAUAUUGGUCAAUGGGCGCGAGCCUGAACCAGCCAAGUCGCGUGAAGGAUGACUGCCCUACGUGUUGUAAACUUCUUUUAUCAAGGAAUAAAGUCAGGCACGUGUCCCUGUUUGUAUGUACUUUAUGAAUAAGGAUCGGCUAACCCCGUGCCAGCAGCCGCGGUAAUACGGAGGAUCCGAGCGUUAUCCGGAUUUAUUGGGUUUAAAGGGAGCGGAGAUGGGUUGUUAAGUCAGUGGUGAAAGUUUGCGGCUCAACCGUAAAAUUGCAAUUGAUACUGGCAGUCUUGAGUACAGUUGAGGUAGGCGGAAUGCGUGGUGUAGCGGUGAAAUGCUUAGAUAUCACGAAGAACUCCGAUUGCGAAGGCAGCUUACUAACCUGACACUGACAUUGAUGCACGAAAGUGUGGGUAUCGAACAGGAUUAGAUACCCCUGUAGUC